RNAcentral lists this transfer RNA (71 nucleotides) under Myctophum orientale (oriental lanternfish). RNAcentral's name for it is "tRNA-Tyr". It matches the Rfam family "tRNA". From Rfam's summary of the family: Transfer RNA (tRNA) molecules are approximately 80 nucleotides in length. Their secondary structure includes four short double-helical elements and three loops (D, anti-codon, and T loops). The record is from RNAcentral. Lineage: Eukaryota; Metazoa; Chordata; Actinopteri; Myctophiformes; Myctophidae.
GGCAUGGUGGCUGAAUGUUCAAGUGGUGGGUUGUAGCCCCAAGGAUAGAGGUUUAAUUCCUCUUCAUGUCA